AUCUAGCUGAUGAGUCCCGAAUAGGAUGAAACACGUGUCCUGGAU
RNAcentral lists this non-coding RNA (45 nucleotides) under Schistosoma mattheei. Lineage: Eukaryota; Metazoa; Platyhelminthes; Trematoda; Strigeidida; Schistosomatidae. The record is from RNAcentral.